This is a long non-coding RNA of Lotus japonicus, 1040 nucleotides long. RefSeq lists it as uncharacterized. The record is from RefSeq and is a predicted model, not a curated record. Lineage: Eukaryota; Viridiplantae; Streptophyta; Magnoliopsida; Fabales; Fabaceae. The transcript is spliced from 3 exons.
UUGAGGACUCCAUCCCUUUGUCCAUUCAAGUAUGACACACUCAUCAGAUGAUGAGACUCUUGUGAUUUCUGGUAGCCUUCAAUCUCAGCAUCAUAAACCCCCCAUAAUUCUUCACCUUUUCCUUUCAGGACAGCAGCAACAACCUUCUCAUGCUUCUUGCUGCUCUGUAUCUGUUCCUGAUCUGAACUUCCCUGGCGGCUAGAGCUUGAAGCUUCUUCACGCGCAAUUCUCUCCUCUUUUAACCUCUUGGUAGUCCUUAAUAACCAUGCCAAAGAGGAGUCAUCUGAAACGAUCCAAAAAAAAAAACAAAAAAAACAAAAAAACGAAUAAAUAUAUAUAUAUAUAUAUAUACAUAAAACAUAUACUAACCUACCAAAAGAAAGAAAAAAAAUCCACGCCCCUGUUUCCUAAUUCCUAAAUUUAAAUUAAAAAAACUACCCACCCCCACUACGUGAUCACAUCUCUCUCGCCCUCGGUUUUCUUCCUCAAACAGCGCCUCACCAAUUCUUCUCCUCUUCUACAUGAUUCUUUAUUCUUCUGCUCUUCUUCCUUAGAACUACAUCAAAUUCCACCUUAAACUACACAUGAUUGGAAGAUUGAUAGAAGAAUUGUGAUUCAAAUGAAAGAGCUUUGGGUAUAAUAUUUAGAAGCUAGGGUUUGUGCUUUGAGUAAGGAGAAGAGUACCACCCCUUCAGAAUUGCUCUUUGGAUGCUAUUGAGAUUCGUCGGCGAGUGGAUCGUUCGGUGGUCGUAGGAUUGCUGAAAGCAAUUGUGGUUAUUUUUCAUAGUUAUUCACAGGCAACUAAGUAGUAAGCUGGUGUCAGAUUCAGAUCGUUCAUUUCACCUUAUUGGCAGGCCUCCUUUGGGUGGUGGCUCGAUUGGUGUCUUGUAUUUGAUUAUAGUUAUCUGCAGCUAUAGGGAGUCUUAUGAGGAUUUAGACUUGGAAUUGUUAUUUAUUGCAUUACUGUAAAAGUUGCACUUGAGUGCUAAAAUUGAAAAUUUAUUUUUAAUGGAAGUAUGAAAAUGAAGAUCAUUAUUUGA